GACGAACGCUGGCGGCGUGCUUAACACAUGCAAGUCGAACGGAAAGGCCCUGCUUUUGUGGGGUGCUCGAGUGGCGAACGGGUGAGUAACACGUGAGUAACCUGCCCUUGACUUUGGGAUAACUUCAGGAAACUGGGGCUAAUACCGGAUAGGAGCUCCUGCUGCAUGGUGGGGGUUGGAAAGUUUCGGCGGUUGGGGAUGGACUCGCGGCUUAUCAGCUUGUUGGUGGGGUAGUGGCUUACCAAGGCUUUGACGGGUAGCCGGCCUGAGAGGGUGACCGGCCACAUUGGGACUGAGAUACGGCCCAGACUCCUACGGGAGGCAGCAGUGGGGAAUAUUGCACAAUGGGCGGAAGCCUGAUGCAGCAACGCCGCGUGCGGGAUGACGGCCUUCGGGUUGUAAACCGCUAUCGCCUGUGACGAAGCGUGAGUGACGGUAAUGGGUAAAGAAGCACCGGCGAACUACGU
RNAcentral lists this ribosomal RNA (467 nucleotides) under uncultured bacterium. Its description in RNAcentral is "partial 16S ribosomal RNA". It matches the Rfam family "Bacterial small subunit ribosomal RNA", at positions 28 to 506 of the family's 1533-position model. The record is from RNAcentral.